This 492-nucleotide ribosomal RNA is filed under the name uncultured bacterium. RNAcentral describes it as "partial 16S ribosomal RNA". It matches the Rfam family "Bacterial small subunit ribosomal RNA", at positions 29 to 507 of the family's 1533-position model. The record is from RNAcentral.
AGUGAACGCUGGCGGUAGGCCUAACACAUGCAAGUCGAACGGAAGCACAGUAAGAGCUUGCUCUUACGGGUGGCGGGUGGCGGACGGGUGAGGAAUACAUCGGAAUCUACUUUUUCGUGGGGGAUAACGUAGGGAAACUUACGCUAAUACAGCAUACGACGUACGGGUGAAAGCAGGGGAUCUUCGGACCUUGCGCGAUUGAAUGCGCGGAUGUCGGGUUAGCUAGUUGGCGGGGUAAAGGCCCACCAAGGCGCGGAUCCGUAGCCGGACUGAGAGGAGGGUCAGCCACACUGGAGGUGAGACACGGUCCAGACUCCUACGGGAGGCAGCAGUGGGGAAUAUGGGACAAUGGGCGCAAGCCUGAUCCAGCCAUACCGCGUGGGUGAAGAAGGCCUUCGGGUUGUAAAGUCCUUUUGUUGGGAAAGAAAAGCAGCAGGUUAAUACCCCGCUGUUCUGACGGUACCCAAAGAAUAAGCACCGGCUAACUUCGUG